AACGCACGAGACCUGCGGACCUGCGGAAGGAUCAUUAAUGAGAAGCUGCCCCUCGUGGGCAGACCUCCCACCCUCUGUGAACUUACCUUUGUUGCUUUGGCAGGCCCGUCCUCUGGACCGCCGGCUUCGGCUGGCCCGUGCCUGCCAGAGGAUUCCAAACCCUGUCUGUCAGUGUUGUCUGAGUCUAUAUGAAAUCGUUAAAACUUUUAACAACGGAUCUCUAGAUCGGAAGAGCACACG
RNAcentral lists this unclassified non-coding RNA (240 nucleotides) under soil metagenome. Its description in RNAcentral is "partial contains 5.8S ribosomal RNA, internal transcribed spacer 2, and large subunit ribosomal RNA". The record is from RNAcentral.